ACAGGGUCAACAACAACUGAGGCAACUACUCAAGUUUCCACAACCGCCACCUCUGCAACCACUUUACAACAGGCCCUUCCACCUCAGAAUCAACAACUGCCAUAUCUCCUGCCACCAGAUGGCAACAACGCUGCGCCUGUGGUCAGUUUACCUAUAAAUCAAAUGCCAACCUACCCUUAUUUUGUACCCAAUCUUUAUCCACCACAAAGCCAGUCAGCAGUUAAUUACAAUGCACCCUCUGGACACCAGGCUCCUGUUAAUUGGCAAGGAAAUCCAUAUUAUAUACAGCCCCCACAGUCGCAAAUGAGUCAACUAUUACCUUUUGGUGCUCAAUAUCUACAGCAUUUGGCAAACCAGCAAAGGGAGCCCAGAGCCACCGAACUAACACCAUCUAAUGUGAACCCCAGUGAUUCUGAAGAGCCAAUGCGAGCUAAAGUCCAAAGUGUAGCUGAUCGUUUUCUUGUCCCUAACCCCAUGCUUCAAGAUGCCCGAGCACCUAUUGCAAACUCCUCACAACAAUUUCUUAGUGCCUUAAAGAAAUCUACCAACCAUGAUCAGAUAAUCCAAACCGACGCGCGAUCAAAGAGUUAUGUGCUGCUACAGCAGGGCCCACCAGGUAGGGAGCGCAAGAGCAACACUGAAGAUCUGCAUGCUGACACAACCCUCCAGUCACAAAAUCGUAAACCCCAUCAUGGGAAUUCAAAUCCCCCACAGGAUAACUCCCCAUUUGUCUCUGCAAUGGAUGACUCUACUUUUGCACCAUUGCCCAAGGAGUCUUUCAAUACAGCGCAUAUAAAUCCUGAAUUAUUAGAAAAAAUUUGGAAACUCAGGCGAACCCUCGGCUACAACCAAAGGAUUCCAGCCCACGCUCCUGGACAGGAAUUUCAAGGAUGGCGCUCAGCAGCUGACCAAAGGGACUGGAACUAUGCGCCCAGAGAGGUGAAGAACAUCAGAACUAGAAACUAGUUGCAUUCAAUUUGAAUAAAUGAUUAAAACAGUA
Limanda limanda (common dab) is the source of this 1000-nucleotide long non-coding RNA. RefSeq lists it as uncharacterized. Lineage: Eukaryota; Metazoa; Chordata; Actinopteri; Pleuronectiformes; Pleuronectidae. The record is from RefSeq and is a predicted model, not a curated record. The transcript has 2 exons.